GCCAGGCUCAUUCAGAGGUGGAAUCGCUUCAUUCUCACUCAACUGCAUCAAGAUAUGCAGGAGCUGGAAAUACCACAGGCUUAUCGAGGUGCUGGAGGCAGCAGCUUUUGCUCAUCGGGGGACUCUGUUAUUGGGCAGCUCUUCAGCUGUGAGAUGGAGAACUGCAGCCUCUGCCGCUGUGGCAGUGAGACCGUGCGAGCCUCAUCCACCCUGCUUUUCACACUCUCCUACCCUGAUGGUAGCAAAAGUGGUGUACCCUUCAGCUCAGUUGGGAAGGCUCCCCAAAAUGUCCUGUAAUAUCAGGGAGAGGGUGUUGGGGACUAACUGUGGGUAGAGGGGAGAACCAGGAGUAUAGCAUCUAAUUUUCCCUCAGAUAAAACUGGGAAGAACUAUGACUUUGCUCAGGUGCUGAAGCGAAGCAUCUGCCUGGACCAGAAUACACAGGCCUGGUGUGACACCUGUGAAAAGU
This 469-nucleotide small RNA is filed under the name Pan troglodytes (chimpanzee). Its description in RNAcentral is "retained intron". The record is from RNAcentral. Lineage: Eukaryota; Metazoa; Chordata; Mammalia; Primates; Hominidae.